GAUGAAGGGCGUGCUAAUCUGCGAUAAGCGCCGGUAAGGUGAUAUGAACCGUUAUAACCGGCGAUACCCGAAUGGGGAAACCCAGUGUGACUCGUCACACUAUCAUUAACUGAAUCCAUAGGUUAAUGAGGCGAACCGGGGGAACUGAAACAUCUAAGUACCCCGAGGAAAAGAAAUCAACCGAGAUUCCCCCAGUAGCGGCGAGCGAACGGGGAGGAGCCCAGAGCCUGAAUCAGCAUGUGUGUUAGUGGAAGCGUCUGGAAAGGCGCGCGAUACAGGGUGACAGCCCCGUACACAAAAGCGCAUGUGCUGUGAGCUCGAUGAGUAGGGCGGGACACGUGGUAUCCUGUCUGAAUAUGGGGGGACCAUCCUCCAAGGCUAAAUACUCCUGACUGACCGAUAGUGAACCAGUACCGUGAGGGAAAGGCGAAAAGAACCCCGGCGAGGGGAGUGAAAAAGAACCUGAAACCGUGUACGUACAAGCAGUGGGAGCACCCUUUGGGUGUGACUGCGUACCUUUUGUAUAAUGGGUCAGCGACUUAUAUUCUGUAGCAAGGUUAACCGAAUAGGGGAGCCGGAGGGAAACCGAGUCUUAAUUGGGCGUUAAGUUGCAGGGUAUAGACCCGAAACCCGGUGAUCUAGCCAUGGGCAGGUUGAAGGUUGGGUAACACUAACUGGAGGACCGAACCGACUAAUGUUGAAAAAUUAGCGGAUGACCUGUGGCUGGGGGUGAAAGGCCAAUCAAACCGGGAGAUAGCUGGUUCUCCCCGAAAGCUAUUUAGGUAGCGCCUCGUGAAUUCAUCUCCGGGGGUAGAGCACUGUUUCGGCUAGGGGGCCAUCCCGGCUUACCAACCCGAUGCAAACUGCGAAUACCGGAGAAUGUUAUCACGGGAGACACACGGCGGGUGCUAACGUCCGUCGUGAAGAGGGAAACAACCCAGACCGCCAGCUAAGGUCCCAAAGUCAUGGUUAAGUGGGAAACGAUGUGGGAAGGCCCAGACAGCCAGGAUGUUGGCUUAGAAGCAGCCAUCAUUUAAAGAAAGCGUAAUAGCUCACUGGUCGAGUCGGCCUGCGCGGAAGAUGUAACGGGGCUAAACCAUGCACCGAAGCUGCGGCAGCGACACUGUGUGUUGUUGGGUAGGGGAGCGUUCUGUAAGCCUGUGAAGGUGUGUCGUGAGGCAUGCUGGAGGUAUCAGAAGUGCGAAUGCUGACAUAAGUAACGAUAAAGCGGGUGAAAAGCCCGCUCGCCGGAAGACCAAGGGUUCCUGUCCAACGUUAAUCGGGGCAGGGUGAGUCGACCCCUAAGGCGAGGCCGAAAGGCGUAGUCGAUGGGAAACGGGUUAAUAUUCCCGUACUUGGUGUUACUGCGAAGGGGGGACGGAGAAGGCUAUGUUGGCCGGG
RNAcentral lists this ribosomal RNA (1401 nucleotides) under Salmonella enterica subsp. enterica serovar Enteritidis. RNAcentral's name for it is "partial 23S ribosomal RNA". It matches the Rfam family "Bacterial large subunit ribosomal RNA", at positions 48 to 1495 of the family's 2925-position model. The record is from RNAcentral. Lineage: Bacteria; Pseudomonadati; Pseudomonadota; Gammaproteobacteria; Enterobacterales; Enterobacteriaceae.